Molecule: ribosomal RNA, 445 nt
Filed under: uncultured bacterium
Lineage: Bacteria
Description: bacterial SSU rRNA
Rfam family: Bacterial small subunit ribosomal RNA
Source: RNAcentral
CCCAGACUCCUACGGGAGGCAGCAGUGGGGAAUAUUGCACAAUGGGGGAAACCCUGAUGCAGCGACGCCGCGUGAGCGAUGAAGUAUUUCGGUAUGUAAAGCUCUCUCAGCAGGGAAGAAAAUGACGGUACCUGACUAAGAAGCCCCGGCUAACUACGUGCCAGCAGCCGCGGUAAUACGUAGGGGGCAAGCGUUAUCCGGAUUUACUGGGUGUAAAGGGAGCGUAGAUGGCGGUGCAAGCCAGAUGUGAAAGCCCGGGGCUCAACCCCGGGACUGCUUUGGAAACUGUAUGGCUGGAGUGCUGGAGAGGCAAGCGGAAUUCCUAGUGUAGCGGUGAAAUGCGUAGAUAUUAGGAAGAACACCAGUGGCGAAGGCGGCUUGCUGGACAGUAACUGACGUUGAGGCUCGAAAGCGUGGGGAGCAAACAGGAUUAGAUACCCCGGUA